GACGAACGCUGGCGGCGUGCUUAACACAUGCCAGUCGAACGGAAAGGCCCCUUUGGGGGUACUCGAGUGGCGAACGGGUGAGUAACACGUGAGUAACCUGCCCUUGACUUCGGGAUAACUUCAGGAAACUGGGGCUAAUACCGGAUAGGAAUCCUUGCUGCAUGGUGGGGGUUGGAAAGCUUCGGCGGUUUUGGAUGGACUCGCGGCUUAUCAGCUUGUUGGUGGGGUAGUGGCUUACCAAGGCUUUGACGGGUAGCCGGCCUGAGAGGGCGACCGGCCACAUUGGGACUGAGAUACGGCCCAGACUCCUACGGGAGGCAGCAGUGGGGAAUAUUGCACAAUGGGCGGAAGCCUGAUGCAGCAACGCCGCGUGCGGGAUGACGGCCUUCGGGUUGUAAACCGCUUUCAGCAGGGGCGAAGCUUGUGGUGACGGUACCUGCAGAAGAAGCACCGGCUAACUACGG
RNAcentral lists this ribosomal RNA (464 nucleotides) under uncultured bacterium. RNAcentral describes it as "partial 16S ribosomal RNA". It matches the Rfam family "Bacterial small subunit ribosomal RNA", at positions 28 to 506 of the family's 1533-position model. The record is from RNAcentral.